CGCGUAGGCGGUCUCUUAAGUCUGAUGUGAAAGCCCGGGGCUUAACCCCGGAAGUGCAUUUGAAACUAAGGGACUUGAGUAUGGGAGAGGGAAGUGGAAUUCCUGGUGUAGAGGUGAAAUUCGUAGAUAUCAGGAGGAACACCGGUGGCGAAGGCGACUUCCUGGACCAAUACUGACGCUGAGGCGCGAAGGCGUGGGGAGCAAACA
RNAcentral lists this ribosomal RNA (207 nucleotides) under uncultured bacterium. RNAcentral describes it as "partial 16S ribosomal RNA". It matches the Rfam family "Bacterial small subunit ribosomal RNA", at positions 568 to 774 of the family's 1533-position model. The record is from RNAcentral.